This 251-nucleotide ribosomal RNA is filed under the name uncultured bacterium. RNAcentral describes it as "partial 16S ribosomal RNA". It matches the Rfam family "Bacterial small subunit ribosomal RNA", at positions 524 to 774 of the family's 1533-position model. The record is from RNAcentral.
UACAGAGGUCCCGAGCGUUGUUCGGAUUCACUGGGCGUAAAGGGUACGUAGGUGGCUUUGUAAGUCUCGAUUAAAGAAUCUAAGCAUAACUUAGAAAUUAUUCUUGAUACUGCUAAGCUCGAGGUCGAAAGAGGUUAGUUAUAUUCUUGAAGUAAAAGUAAAAUCUUUAGAUAUUAAGAGGAUAACCAAGUGGUUAAUGCGACUUUCUGGUUCGACGCUGACGCUGAGGUACGAAGCAUGGGUAGUCAAAC